RNAcentral lists this long non-coding RNA (200 nucleotides) under Lathyrus oleraceus (garden pea). Its description in RNAcentral is "Pisum sativum (pea) long non-coding RNA (PSAT_LNC030312)". Lineage: Eukaryota; Viridiplantae; Streptophyta; Magnoliopsida; Fabales; Fabaceae. The record is from RNAcentral.
UGAAGAGCUUCAGCAAUAAGAUGAUACCUUGGAACCUCUUCCAAUCCACUAAAAGUUACCUUGCCAGAAACAGGUAUUCCCAUAAGAUGGGCAUACUCCUUAAACGUAGGCACAAGCUGAUAAUCAGGAAAAGUGAAGUAACGGUAGAAAGGGUCGUAGAACUGCACUAAUACACUCAAAAGUCCUUCAACCACAUCAGC